CAAAAAAAAAAAAAAAUCUUCCAAUGAGAAAAUAUAUAUAUAUAUUAUUGCCACCGCCAACCUGUUACAUUGGGCAUCUCAUUAAUCUUUUCCGGAAUUGAUAAAAUACUAGAAUGAAAGCAAAUGAAGGGGAUAAAAGGGCCAACAAACCCAAUCAGUACCAACUGAUACGAAAACAACAUCAUAUCGAAACAACAUGACGACAUGUGAAGCGUAAACACAUUUGGGAUGCAAUUCUAUUGCAGCCUGCCACUGAAGUUAUCAACUGGAAACAUAUUUACUUCCCGUAUUUCAGGUCAUGCCACACAGAUUGCAACCGCAGCUUGGCAAAUUUCCACGAAAGUUCCUUUGGCCCAUCCGUGGAAAAUCCCAACACCAUCUAUAAAAC
RNAcentral lists this unclassified non-coding RNA (388 nucleotides) under Hevea brasiliensis (rubber tree). Lineage: Eukaryota; Viridiplantae; Streptophyta; Magnoliopsida; Malpighiales; Euphorbiaceae. The record is from RNAcentral.